CAAGGAAGGACUUUCUGGAAUCUACUUAUCUGACCAAGAAAGCUUCUUUCCAAAAGAAAUGCAAUUGUCUUGAGACUUCUUCCCUAGGGAUCUGAUCAACUAACCAGAAAAGAGCAACCACCAGAGAAGAGACUGUGGGUGUCAUUGUGACUGGCUGCUACCUCCCCAUGAGUCUUCUAAAAUAAAACCUGCAAAUUCACAUCUUCCCCAUGCUUCCAGAGAAUGCAUAUUCUUCCUUUGAAAAAAGAAAACCAGGUAGUCGUACAGUGUCCAGAAGGCAAAAGGACAAGUAUGCACUGCCCUACUUACCUACUUUCCACACUGCUGCACAGGAAAAUCUGACAGAGGACAAUAACAAACAUCUCACCAGCUCAUGCGUUCUUUUUUGAUCCUAAUUCCGAGAGACUCACCAAAGACAUGAAGAGAAAACAAACAAUACUUUUCUUGGAAAUAUUGUAAUUGCUGGUAC
RNAcentral lists this long non-coding RNA (469 nucleotides) under Homo sapiens (human). RNAcentral describes it as "non-protein coding lnc-MMRN1-12:18". Lineage: Eukaryota; Metazoa; Chordata; Mammalia; Primates; Hominidae. The record is from RNAcentral.